Molecule: ribosomal RNA, 446 nt
Filed under: uncultured bacterium
Lineage: Bacteria
Description: partial 16S ribosomal RNA
Rfam family: Bacterial small subunit ribosomal RNA
Source: RNAcentral
CCUACGGGUGGCUGCAGUCGAGAAUCAUUCACAAUGGGGGAAACCCUGAUGGUGCGACGCCGCGUGGGGGAAUGAAGGUCUUCGGAUUGUAAACCCCUGUCAUGUGGGAGCAAAUUAAAAAGAUAGUACCACAAGAGGAAGAGACUGCUAACUCUGUGCCAGCAGCCGCGGUAAUACAGAGGUCGCAAGCGUUGUUCGGAAUCACUGGGCGUAAGGCGUGCGUAGGCUGUUUCGUAAGUCGUGUGUGAAAGGCGCGGGCUCAACCCGCGGACGGCACAUGAUACUGCGAGGCUAGAGUAAUGGAGGGGGAACCGGAAUUCUCGGUGUAGCAGUGAAAUGCGUAGAUAUCGAGAGGAACACUCGUGGCGAAGGCGGGUUCCUGGACAUUAACUGACGCUGAGGCACGAAGGCCAGGGGAGCGAAAGGGAUUAGAUACCCCUGUAGUC